UGGUGGGGUGACUUGUCUGCUUAAGUGCGAUAACGAACGAGACCUUAACCUGCUAAAUAGCCCGCAUUGCUCCGGCAGUGCGCUGGCUUCUUAGAGGGACUUUCGGCUCAAGCCGAAGGAAGUUUGAGGCAAUAACA
This 137-nucleotide ribosomal RNA is filed under the name uncultured eukaryote. RNAcentral's name for it is "partial 18S ribosomal RNA". It matches the Rfam family "Eukaryotic small subunit ribosomal RNA", at positions 1299 to 1458 of the family's 1831-position model. The record is from RNAcentral.